GGAUUUGUAGCCUGUUCGUUUGCUAGGAGCUGCUCGGAUAUUCUUUCUUUCUAGCACGUACGUGUAGUGAAUCAUUUUAUCUGUUCCAUCUUUUUCCUCUCUUCUUCCUUUUCAUUUUAGGAAAAUAGAGAACCCCAUGAUUUCUGCUUUGUCCCCUUUUCUGUAUUGUAUAGAGAGAGGUCCAGAUUAGGCUACACCACCUCAGCUGCUGUAACACUCUGGUGUUAAGCAAACUAAAACGUGACAUGUCAUCAUAUGCACCGGCAUUUCAUCUAAGUUGAUAACCUGGAUAUGCAUUC
RNAcentral lists this long non-coding RNA (299 nucleotides) under Sorghum bicolor (sorghum). RNAcentral describes it as "long non-coding RNA (SBIC_LNC000634)". The record is from RNAcentral. Lineage: Eukaryota; Viridiplantae; Streptophyta; Magnoliopsida; Poales; Poaceae.